GCCGCGGUGGUGAAACUGGCAGACACGAGAGCCUUAGGAGCUCUUGGGAGUAAUCCCGUAGAGGUUCAAGUCCUCUCCGCGGCACCA
Molecule: transfer RNA, 87 nt
Filed under: Candidatus Moraniibacteriota bacterium
Lineage: Bacteria; Candidatus Moraniibacteriota
Description: tRNA-Leu
Rfam family: tRNA
About the family: Transfer RNA (tRNA) molecules are approximately 80 nucleotides in length. Their secondary structure includes four short double-helical elements and three loops (D, anti-codon, and T loops).
Source: RNAcentral